GGCAAACACUGAGACACAGAGUACAGCCUGUACAAGUGUCGGUUAUGGUGGGCAGGUGGGUUUCUGGAUCAAACUGUAUAGCCUGGUAGCCAGAAUCAUUACAGGUCAUGUAGCAUUUACCACAGUUGAUACACAUUUCUUCAUCAAUCAUAGCCACAACUUGCUCUACGUUGCUCAAUUCACCAAAUGUUCCAAGGUACUGCAGUGCUUUUCCU
Molecule: long non-coding RNA, 215 nt
Filed under: Homo sapiens (human)
Lineage: Eukaryota; Metazoa; Chordata; Mammalia; Primates; Hominidae
Description: LNC_000123
Source: RNAcentral